AGACUCUCCACGGUUUGAAGUCUGGGCUCUGGAGAUCUUCGAUAACCAGAGACUUCCUUCAGCGAUCAACUCCCUCCGUUCACCUUGCCGCGUUGGUAGUUUGGGCAGGCAGUAAAAUGAUAAACUUGGGUGUUUAUCUGCAUUAUUUCCACAGCCAAUAACAGCAAAGAUGUGGCAUUUCUAUUCUCAGACGGGUCACCAGUACGUGCCGUUAACACCACAAAAUGAGGCUAGAAACUCGCGUUCCGGUCACUCCAGUGCCCAUGAAAUCUCCCCGCACGGUCUCCCAACAACAAUCGGGCUGAGCCCGCCAACCCAUAAUGAACUGCGGUCGUGAGGGCAUGAAUUGGCGUGACGUCACUCGAAACUCGGGUCGCGGCGGGAAGGGGGCGGAGCCGAGAUGGCUUCACUUCUGUGACGUCAUGCCCUCUCCAUGUAUUCUUCCUCCAAGGUGGCGAGGCCAAAAUUUAUUAAUGUAAAUGAUUUUCAAUUACUGGGCUAGCUGAUUGUAGUGCUCGACAAAAAUAUCGGGUGAUGAAUAAGAAAACUAAGGAACUGCCUUGUUUACGUCAAUGGCCAUUUGAAGGCUUUUUACUUCCGUGUGUGUGUGUGUGUGUGUGUGUGUGUCGAAGACGGACCGGUCACCGCCAGUCCUCGCCACAUUGCCCUGGACCUGCGGGGAGGUGAGUAGUGUUUGAUCGGGAGGGUUUCACUGAAUUAAGAAAUGUAAUCUCGAGCCGUGCAGUGUUAUGUAGGUGUCACGUGUGAAAACCAUCUGUAUACGAGUGUUACGGUAUUUUUGUCGGUUUCUUAUCGUCAUUGCAGAUAGACGCUGGUAUCUACGCACGGUUCCGUGCGUGAGGUGGUGACCACGAGAUGGGAAGCGUGAAGAAGCCUGAGGAUUUUGAUAAUCCCGUGGAUUUUGUUCGGUAUCUCUUUCUCUAUAUUGAUUUUGAGGUGCUUCAAAAGGUGUUCGAAAAGAAGGCACAGAUAAUAAAAAGGAUUUGGACCCGAAAUGUUAUUGAAAGCAUUUUCCUAAUUCCCCUGGCUCUUCUGUUCUUCGUUGUCUUCCUCUAUAUAUUUUGGAUCCUCGUAUGUUGGCCAUGUCGGAGAGUCUACAGAUAUCAUCGACCUGCUCAGCGCAAGAAAAAACAAUCUAAGGAAGCAUCAGUAAAGUGAUGAAGAGUAACCUGGCAAGGGUUGGGUUCAAUGGGGCGCGACAUGACGACGCAGACCAUCCAUAGUCUACCGAAUGCCCGUUUCCGCCCUGUCAGUUGGUUUGUCCUGAGCCAACUUCCUAAACUUACUGCAGUUGACUGACCAAACAGACUCCACAAAAACAGAUUCCUGCAAUGACUGCACCGUUUCUGCCCUCGGCCGGUCCAGGGAUGACGCGGGGUUGUCUACAUUUUAGCUAAGCCCAAAACCAGACGUGACAAGAGCGCGGAGCAAUUGCCCGUUGCCGCGGGUUGGAGCCAUGCUAUUUUUUUUUUUUUUAUUGAGCUGACUUUACUCCGUUGAAGGGGAAUGUAACCAGCUGAUCAAUUUAUUUUGUUUUAGUUUAAUUAUAUUAAUACUUCGCCCGAUACAGCAUGUGUAUUCGGACUUAGUCUUGUCUCGGGGCUGGAGCUCUAUCAUUUUAGUGUUGUGGUUUAUUUUGAAGAGUAUUCUACGUAAUUCGUCCGUAUCUUCAACAGUAAAUGUGUUGCGACUUUUUAAAGAACGUGUUGAGGUUUUUAAAAUAAAGAUGAAUUUAGGUUAUAGUUUACGUGGAUUUUUUAGUUAUGGUGAAAUUGAAGAAAUGUAAGUGUGCGAGCGUAGGGAUCGGCAGGGAGCGGCGUCUGUUGAGCCACGCACCCCUUGCCCAUCACCUUUUGUGAAUGCAGGAAGGUGUACGGCUGAUGAAGAUGCUCAAUCAUCACUCACCUUAAGUACAAUAAACUAAUCCAGAUACCUGAUUUAACUGUU
Long non-coding RNA from Eriocheir sinensis (Chinese mitten crab), 1968 nucleotides. RefSeq lists it as uncharacterized. Lineage: Eukaryota; Metazoa; Arthropoda; Malacostraca; Decapoda; Varunidae. The transcript has 2 exons. The record is from RefSeq and is a predicted model, not a curated record.